AGCACCUGCUUCUUGGACGUUUCCUCCCUAGACUUGGCGGUGCUUCGGCACCGCUUUUUUUUGCCCCGG
This 69-nucleotide small RNA is filed under the name Gluconacetobacter diazotrophicus PA1 5. RNAcentral's name for it is "Gluconacetobacter diazotrophicus PAl 5 Makes More Granules Regulator RNA (mmgR)". It matches the Rfam family "Makes More Granules Regulator RNA (mmgR)". From Rfam's summary of the family: SuhB later renamed mmgR (makes more granules regulator) was a putative non-coding RNA found multiple times in the Agrobacterium tumefaciens genome and related alpha-proteobacteria. Other non-coding RNAs uncovered in the same analysis include: speF, ybhL, metA, and serC. The record is from Rfam by way of RNAcentral. Lineage: Bacteria; Pseudomonadati; Pseudomonadota; Alphaproteobacteria; Acetobacterales; Acetobacteraceae.